Molecule: long non-coding RNA, 1821 nt
Filed under: Triticum aestivum (bread wheat)
Lineage: Eukaryota; Viridiplantae; Streptophyta; Magnoliopsida; Poales; Poaceae
Description: long non-coding RNA (TAES_LNC000677)
Source: RNAcentral
CCACUGUUUUUGAGUCUGCUCCAAGAUAAGCUUUGCCACGUCCAAUUCACGUGCAAGCUGAGCUGCCCAUCGAAUACACCGGACGACAUUCCAUUAUGGAAAUCUGGCAGAGAGGUGAACAUCUACAAGGCUAUAAAUCAAAACGAACAAAUCAACUAUUCAUAGAUACCAAAUUUAAGAAGCUCGCAAAAUGUUCCUGCUAUAAAACUGUAUAGUGCUACCCAUCUUCAUGUUGUUCCCUCCGUUCGUUCAAACUGAAAAUAAGUAGAAGAAAAUGAAAAAGAAGAAAAAAAAGAUUACAAAAUACUCCCUCCGUUCCUAAAUAUAAGUCUUUUGGAGAUUUCACUAUAGACUACGUACAGAGCAAAAUGAGCAAACAUAUACUCUAAAAGGCGUCUAUAUACAUCCGAAUCUAGUCUCUAUAGUGGAAUCUCUAAAAGGAAUUAUAUUUAGGAACAGAGGGAGUACAUGUCUCAUGCAGUCAGGAACUUCAGAUUUUGAAUAAGCUUAUGCUUGUACUCAUCUUCCAGUACUCUAUCAGGAGCCAAAGUAACUAAACAUCCUCCAUCACCUCUUGCAAAUCUCAGAACCUCCAAUCCUUGAUGCACUAAACUGACUUUCACCACAACCAGUUCUUUCCCUCAUCGCCCCGCUCGAAUGAAAAGGAGACUGAAAAGAAAGCGAUAUAAGUACAUCAAGGAAUCAGAUGAGGGCUAUUGACAAUCCAUAAAUCCCAUGAGUCCUACUGGUGGUAUACAUGAAUAACCAAAUGCCAUUUACAAUUCUCCUGAAGGUGGGUAAAUAGAAUGUUUAACCAAAGCAAAUCUUACAACCACAUAUUAGAGGUUCGAUAUCUUUCAGGCCAAUUGCAAAUAAUGAUGAACACUCUGACUACACUAAGAGAAUGGAUGCGACAUGAUGUGAAACAUAUACUGACAUUGCAUCAUGUAAAGGGUUAGUGGUGGUACUGAUUAUUUGUUGUUAUUAGCAAAUCCUUUUAGAGACCAUGGAUGACUAACACGAUGUUGCAAUCAAUUUGUAAUUAAAGAGACCAAAAGUUCUUUUUUUUAACCAGAAAGUCCUUGCGCCGGAGUUCGGACAAACCCCUCAAUAACAUGACCAAAUUUGUUUUGGCUCUGGUUAUCACAUAUCAAGUACGAACCAGCAAACAUACAGACUUGUGAAGCUGAUAAGAAAUCAUCAAAGUUAUGUGAACUUGAAACUAAAAGUCCAACAGAGGAGCGAGGAACUAACCUUGUUAUCAUUUCUCUGAAGUCUGAACCUCGCCUAGUUCUUGGUCCAAUGUGAGUAUGCUUCAGAGAUAAUGAUUUCUUAUGUAACAUGCGCUUUCACAUCUGAAAAAGCACAUAAAUAUAUAUAAUAGGAAUAGUAAUCAGAUGCUCAAAAACUAUAACCUGAACAUAUCAGUGCUUAAACCAAAUUAUCUAUACACAACCAUAGAUACUAAAAGAACCAUCUAACAGAACCAUGGAAGGCUUAGGUUGCAUGUCCUCAACUGAAAUGGGUGAGUUCUGGACAUCCUUCUAAGCUACUCUGUUUAACAUAGCUCAUGAUCAAUACUUCAUGCAUUUACCAAGCCUGCUAAUGCUUUUUUGAAGUUGACGUCCCAAUUUAAAAUUCAAAUAUCAAUUUGCACCAAUAAAAUCUUGAUAUGUAGGUGCAUCCGACAAACUGUAGACACGAAAUAUUCAUUGCAUGAACCAAAAGUACAUGAGCUACCUGUAGAUGCAAGGAAAUAAUGACAAACCGCAACCAGUUCUCCUAUCAGUAUGUAACUGUGUGCCAUUAAUCUCAAUAUAC